This 250-nucleotide unclassified non-coding RNA is filed under the name plant metagenome. RNAcentral's name for it is "partial contains small subunit ribosomal RNA and internal transcribed spacer 1". The record is from RNAcentral.
AAGUCGUAACAAGGUUUCCGUAGGUAUGUAAAAUUCUUUCCAACUCCAACAUAUUCAAUGCUAACGAUUUACAGGUGAACCUGCGGAAGGAUCAUUAACGGCUUUCCUGCUCUGCAGGAAUUCCCACCCUUGGCUAUAGACUGUUGCUUUGGCGGGCCGCCUUGAGGCGUUGGCUCCGGCUGACUGCGCCCGCCAGAGAACCCAAACUCGUUUGUUUAGUGAUGUCUGAGUACUAUAAAAUUUUUUAAAA